GAUGAACGCUGGCGGCGUGCUUAACACAUGCAAGUCGAACGGAAAGGCUCCUGCUUGCAGGGGUACUCGAGUGGCGAACGGGUGAGUAACACGUGGGUGAUCUGCCCUGCACUUCGGGAUAAGCCUGGGAAACUGGGUCUAAUACCGGAUAGGACGAUGGUUUGGAUGCCAUUGUGGAAAGUUUUUCGGUGUGGGAUGAGCUCGCGGCCUAUCAGCUUGUUGGUGGGGUAAUGGCCUACCAAGGCGUCGACGGGUAGCCGGCCUGAGAGGGUGUACGGCCACAUUGGGACUGGAAAACGGCCCAGACUCCUACGGGGGGCAGCGGUGGGGAAUAUUGCCAAAGGGGCGAAAGCCUGAUGCAGGGACGCCGGGGGGGGGAUGACGGCCUUCGGGUUGUAAACUCCUUUCGCUGGGGACGAAGCGUUUUGGGACGGUACCUGGAGAAGAAGCACCGGUUAACUACGG
Molecule: ribosomal RNA, 465 nt
Filed under: uncultured bacterium
Lineage: Bacteria
Description: partial 16S ribosomal RNA
Rfam family: Bacterial small subunit ribosomal RNA
Source: RNAcentral